Coregonus clupeaformis (lake whitefish) is the source of this 1748-nucleotide long non-coding RNA. RefSeq lists it as uncharacterized. NCBI's taxonomy places the organism in Eukaryota, Metazoa, Chordata, Actinopteri, Salmoniformes, Salmonidae. The transcript has 11 exons. The record is from RefSeq and is a predicted model, not a curated record.
GUGGCAAACACAUGAACAGCUUAACGUGGUUUUGCUUUACGUGUGGUCGGUGUUUGGAGUUUUUAAAGGACGCGGACAAGACGGAAACAUUGGAAACACAGGGGACGUCUCGACAGCCGGACAGUGCUAUGCAAAAACAACCAUGCCCAUCAUACAAACAGUUCAUGGAGUACAGAAGCUCGAAAUCAAAAGAACGACAGUCUUUUAACUAUGGGCCAAAAGGAAGAUAUAGGCCUAAAGAAAGAAAACACGUCCAGAUAAACGUAGGAUUGAUGGUGCCAAGUGGAACUGAUUUAAAACCUCUAAGAGGGAAAACACUACAGUUAUUUACAGACCCAGAGGUAGCAGCACCUGAUCUACUGAAACAAGCUGUCCAGAAAAUGACAACAUUUAACAAGGACAUGCACGAAGGACCUUAUGUCCUUUUGUAUCCAGACUGCUCAGAGGUGGUUCAUGUGCCUGGGUCAGAAAGGCCAUUCAAAUUGGCAGAAUAUAAAAAGGAAAUAGGAAAGGCAUAUUCCAGGAUCACUUUUUUCAUUUGCCUAGAAAAACACUAUAAAAGAGGUUAGUGGAUCUCAUGAUUCAAUAUUUUUACAUAUUUAGAUACUCUGCUGGAGGAUAGAUAAUGGUUGUUUGAAUUAUUUUUUUCAGUGGAUGAAACCUCAGACUCUGAUUCUGAAAUUGUCAUCACAACAAGGAGCACAGCUGAACUCAAUCGUGCUGACACUUUGGUUUUUGAACCACAAAAUCGAAGUACUCCCAAACACAAGCUGGACGAUGAAAGAGAUGCACCAGGACAAUCAACAAUUCAGCCUGGACAGAUAGUAAUAUCUGAUGCUGAGGAUCUGGAUCCACCGGAAGCAAAUCCAGAAAAAAUGUCUUGCUACAGUAAAUACACAGACCUGUAUUCACCAAAUGUUGAGCAGGAGGACGAAGAGCCGGUUGCUGUCAAUGUGAAGAAUUUCCAACACACAGCAAUGGAGGAGACGGACAUUGCAUUACCUGACAUCGUAGCAAACCUGUCUCUUCCUAUUGAUCAUAAAAAAGUCAGCCGGUUUAACAUCUCAAGGGAUAAUGUUUGGGAUGGGGCAGUCAGAGGUUUCAAGCGUACAACAUAUUCUGAAACCUGUGACAUGCUGGUGAAAUUUACUGAUGAUACUGGUGUUCUGGAAGAGGGAAUUGACACUGGUGGUCCAAGACGAGAGUUUUUAACUCUACUGAUGAAACACCUAAAAGACCGGCCCAUUUUUGAUGGACCAGAAGGACAUCGGUUCUUGGUCUACAAUGCAAAGGAUUGAGAAUGCUGCUUCAUUGGAUGCUCUGCAAUAAUGUAUGAUGAGACACAGCACAAUGUUACAGACAGCAGGUUGUCUGAGACAUGUGGCUACUGUGGAAGAAAAUAAAGAAAUCGUGUCAGACUACCUCCAAUGGUAUAUCAUUGACCGCAACUCAUCUGUAAUUGACAGAUUCAGAGAUGGUCUUUCAACCCUGGAGUUUUUGACUGCACUACAGCAACACCCUACUUUGCUGGCCCCUGUCAUGUGCCACUCUGAAAGGCGACUCACUGCUUUUGAACUUGAGAGACUCUUCAAACCUGACCUCAGUCCUUCGGGGAGUAAUCGAAGACUUAAAGAAAGUCAAACCAUGGCCUACUGGGCAGACUAUCUCCUUGAUUGUGAAGAAGGCCAGGCUGCUGUGUCUGUGGAAGAUGUUUUGAUGUUUGCUACUGGGCUGUCUUCACUUCCCCA